AUUGAACGCUGGCGGCAGGCUUAACACAUGCAAGUCGAGCGGAGACGAGGUGCUUGCACCUUAUCUUAGCGGCGGACGGGUGAGUAAUGCUUAGGAAUCUGCCUAUUAGUGGGGGACAACAUUCCGAAAGGAAUGCUAAUACCGCAUACGUCCUACGGGAGAAAGCAGGGGAUCUUCGGACCUUGCGCUAAUAGAUGAGCCUAAGUCGGAUUAGCUAGUUGGUGGGGUAAAGGCCUACCAAGGCGACGAUCUGUAGCGGGUCUGAGAGGAUGAUCCGCCACCCUGGGACUGAGACACGGCCCGGACUCCUACGGGAGGCAGCAGUGGGGAAUAUUGGACAAUGGGGGGAACCCUGAUCCAGCCAUGCCGCGUGUGUGAAGAAGGCCUUAUGGUUGUAAAGCACUUUAAGCGAGGAGGAGGCUACUGAGACUAAUACUCUUGGAUAGUGGACGUUACUCGCAGAAUAAGCACCGGCUAACUCUGUGCCAGCAGCCGCCGUAA
Molecule: ribosomal RNA, 501 nt
Filed under: uncultured bacterium
Lineage: Bacteria
Description: partial 16S ribosomal RNA
Rfam family: Bacterial small subunit ribosomal RNA
Source: RNAcentral